GAUAGCGAAGGUGAUCUUAUUAUUAGCAUUUGACAACAAUUGACAUUCAAGGUUUGCUUUUCAGUCAUUCUAUAGAGGUUCUCAAGUAAAUACUUUCCCAAUUUUUAGCACCAUCUUGUGCAAUUAAGUAAAUGUUUGCCAUUAAAAGAGGUCUUAUGACAGCUGGCCUGGGAGUCUAAUCUAUGACUUCUCCAUUUUGAUCACUACAAGGUUGUCCAACACAUUUUGUUUGGUUGGCAAUUGACAUGUUCUUCAUCUCUUUGCGUCAAUAAUGUCUGCAAAAAAAAAAAAAAAGUCUUUAUGCGAGAUAGAAUGAAUGAACGAAGCAAUAGUCUUUAUUGUCAUUUCUUUUGAUGACUAAGUCAAUCAUUACCCAUUUUAAAUAUAUGUAAUAGACCACAUGUAGACACAAUUUCUCGUGUAUUCUUGUCUCACAUUUUUCUUGUUCUAUUACUUCCAAUGGUCACACUGAUUAGCACUGUGUUUGGUAGUCUUGCUUUGCCAUAGCAAUAUGGAUAUUUUCACCAAAGCGAUUGGCAAGAGUAACUUGCAAUUUUGCCAAGAUUGCAAAAGAAGAAAGUACUUCAAUGUAAUAAUGCCUCUUGAUUUCUACUGACACUUGAAUGUUAAUCAAUAAUUUCAGCAUAGCAUUUGUUCUUAUAAAAGUACAAAAACAAAAAUUAGCAAGAUAAAAGCAAAAAUAAUUAAAUAAUGAAAUAAACAAAUAUGAUAAACGAAAUAAAUAGACAAAUAAUAAAGACAUCAACAUAUAAAAAGAAUCCGGUCACAAUAAGAAAAGAAAAGGUCGGUCCAAUUCAUGUAGCUCAACUUGAUCCACAAGGCCAUCGUGUCAGCCCAUUGGCCCAACUUAGCUGUCACAAAUUUGUCCUAACCCAUUUCUUUCUAUUUGUGCUCAGCACAUCUUCCUCCCCGCCUCUCUCCUUCUCCCUGUCGUUUGAAGAAGAAGUUAAGAACGACGGGAGUAAGGAUAAAUGCGCGGUGAGAGAGUCGAACGAAUCAGCUCAGUUCGAGUGAGCUUCUCGAUAAAGUUCUUCAAGGCUGAUUUUGGACAAGCUUGUAACCGAAUCGUCUGUUGGGCACCCGUAUAUCCGCCGGUAACCGCCACCGGCCUUCCGUCGCCGGCCAUCAACGAACAUACGUGCUGAGAGAGAGCUCGAACGGAGGGCAUUGAUGGAACGGACUCGGGAGGUUUUUGGGCGUUUUAGGAGUUCACUCUCUCGGGAGCUCUGUUCGCCUCUGUUCUCAGUUCAUCACCUUCGAAGCAGCUUGGUUCGGGUUCAAUCCUCCUUCGCAAACUCCGAUUCUUGGCGUCCGUUGCUCGUCGGACGUCCUCCUUCUGGUAUCACCGCCCAUCGUAGCUCCGUCUCCGACCAGGAGGGAGCCUGCGAUUGGUGUUAUUUGACUGAGGUCCAUGUGCGUUGGCAUUUGGUAAGAUGUAUCUGAAUUCCAUUGAUCAACGCUGGCUUGUACCGUGCAGUGAGAAUACCAAGCAGGAACAAGCGUGGGAAUCGAAGCAGGAGAUCGUAUAUGAUGUUCAAGAUACCUUCUUGACGUGAGAUUUCAAUUACUUGCUCAAGAAAAUAAUGGAUUGCUGUUAACGGCAAACAUAAUAAGUGUAUACAGACAUGUUCUACGGUAUUCAAAUUCUUUAUUGUU
Long non-coding RNA from Eucalyptus grandis, 1677 nucleotides. RefSeq lists it as uncharacterized. NCBI's taxonomy places the organism in Eukaryota, Viridiplantae, Streptophyta, Magnoliopsida, Myrtales, Myrtaceae. The record is from RefSeq and is a predicted model, not a curated record. The transcript is spliced from 2 exons.